UUUGCCUGAGAGGCAUUACAGGUGUGGCUGCUCUGUCACGUGCAUCAGUAGGGUGGCAGAGGCAGAAGAGGCCAUGUCUACUCUCAGUGUUCUGAUCUUUGAGCAUCUGAAUGGUUAGUAACUUAACACU
Mastomys coucha (southern multimammate mouse) is the source of this 130-nucleotide small nucleolar RNA. RefSeq annotates it as small nucleolar RNA SNORA17. The record is from RefSeq and is a predicted model, not a curated record. NCBI's taxonomy places the organism in Eukaryota, Metazoa, Chordata, Mammalia, Rodentia, Muridae. The transcript has a single exon.